AGCGAACGCUGGCGGCAGGCCUAACACAUGCAAGUCGAACGAACCUUUCGGGGUUAGUGGCGGACGGGGGAGUAACACGUGGGAACGUGCCUUUAGGUUCGGAAUAACUCAGGGAAACUUGUGCUAAUACCGAAUGUGCCCUUCGGGGGAAAGAUUAAUCGCCUUUAGAGCGGCCCGCGUCUGAUUAGCUAGUUGGUUGAGGUAAUGGCUCACCAAGGCGACGAUCAGUAGCUGGUCUGAGAGGAUGAUCAGCCACAUUGGGACUGAGACACGGCCCAAACCCUUCGGGAGGGGAGAAGGGGGGAAUUUGCGACAAGGGGCGAAUGCUGAAGGCCCUCGGGCCGGGUAAAUGUGUAAGGUGUGAGGAUUAUAAAUUUUUUUACCCGGGGACAUAAAGACGGGACCCCGGAAAAAAACCCCCGCUUACUUUGGG
Molecule: ribosomal RNA, 433 nt
Filed under: uncultured bacterium
Lineage: Bacteria
Description: partial 16S ribosomal RNA
Rfam family: Bacterial small subunit ribosomal RNA
Source: RNAcentral